UAUUUUUUUUUCUCACCAUCAUUCCCUCUCUCUCUCUAACCCAAAAUCCCCCCGCCUUCUCUCUAAACCAUGAUGAACGUCGACCUGAAAAACCAAAGAAACCUAGGACCUAACAAGUAAGCCCAGAUUCCGGCCAUGUCGCCGCCAUACGCCGCCGUUCGCUGUUGUUCAAACACAAAAAAAAACCCUUUUUUUCGUCCUCUUUCUAUAUCCUAACAUAGAUAUUUCAAAAUCUCACUAGAAAUCCACGAAUCUGAACUAGAAAGUCAUUAUUGUCACUGCCUGAAAUUUCUAUUCAGCAAGGCUUGAGCAACCCGAGGCUACCAGGAAUCCUUCUCUCUUCUCCCCACUAACCUAAGAAACAAGAAAGAAACCCUAAGAGCCUAACAAAACCGAAACAAAAAAAAGCCUACUGGCAGUCACUUUUGGACUUUUCCUUUGCUUCUGUUAUUGCUGGCAAAUUAUGUGUAUGAUUGUUGCAUUUUGUUGGCUUUCAGCUAUGUUGUGUGUGGUGAUUGUGGGUCAGGUGUGGUUGCUGGCUAUGGGCAAUUUCUGGGUAUAGCUGAAUGCUUUUAGGUUCGGUGGAAUUGUUGAGGCAAAUUGUUGCUCUGCAAUUGUCGACUCUGUUGAUGGUUCGAUCACUGGAAAAUUAUGGAUUUUUCUUCUUUACGUUUUUCUUAAAUUGUUUCCCUCCGAUUAUCAUCCGGAUUUUUUUUAUAGGGAAUCAAUCCCAAUCCAACUAGAUUUUCUAUCACAGAGAAUUCCAAAUCCAAUAAAUUUGUUGUUAUUUAAGAACUCUUGGGUUUGGGCUUUCAGUUUACAAGAGAUUCAAUCCCACAACUUUAUUUUCUCAAGAAUUUUAAUUCCAUACAAUUUCGGCUUUCAUUCAACCUUUCUGUUCUGAAUUUUCCUUUUUCUUUUUUUCAUUUUUCCUGUUUUUCAUUCAUUUUUAAUUUUUUUAAUUUUUUUCAAAAAUAACAGAAAAAUACAAUAAGAAUAUAAAAUAUAAAAAGGAAAUAAAAAACCAAAAUCCUAUCAAACCCAAAAUAAAAAUAAAAAACCAAUAAACAAACUAAAAUUCCAAAGCAAUUAAGGACUCAAAAAUUACGAAACUAGAUUUAAGUCAAUUUAAUCUAGUCUUAAAUCUCAAACUCAAGUUUUAAAACCGGCUUCAUAAAAUUUGAUCGUGCAUAAAUUGAUUUUAACUCAAAUUAGGACUAAGUUGAAUCAAGUUCAAUUAAUUCAAAAUUUCAAAAUAACUCCAAACAAAAUAGAAUUUUUACAGUUUUUUUUUCUUAUCUAUUAUGAAAUUAAAAUUGUACAAAAACAUAAAUAAUCAUUGCAUUCGAAUUUGAUUUAAAUUCGUAGAUUCUCAUAUGGAAUAUUAAAAUUUAAAAGUUUGUAAUUGAAAUUUGAAAAUUCACAUUUUAAUAUUUUAAAGAUUUACAUAAAAAUUUUGAAUAUUCAUAUUUAAAAAAUUUUUAUUCAAAAAAUUUAACAAUUUACAUUUAAAAUUUAAAAAUUUACAAUUAAAAUUUAAAUAUUCACAUCUAAAAAUUUUAAAAUUUAUUACCAAAAUUU
RNAcentral lists this long non-coding RNA (1581 nucleotides) under Durio zibethinus. RNAcentral's name for it is "long non-coding RNA (DZIB_LNC000035)". The record is from RNAcentral. Lineage: Eukaryota; Viridiplantae; Streptophyta; Magnoliopsida; Malvales; Malvaceae.